Molecule: non-coding RNA, 2982 nt
Organism: Phoenix dactylifera (date palm)
Lineage: Eukaryota; Viridiplantae; Streptophyta; Magnoliopsida; Arecales; Arecaceae
Source: RefSeq, a predicted model, not a curated record
AGAGGGGAAAGCGCAGCCCUUUUCUUGGCCUCCUAUACUUCCCUUCUUGUUCUAGGGUUUUGCCCGGGCUUUAGGGUUCCGCCGGGCCGCCGUUUUCUCCCUCCAAACAACCCGAUUUCUUGAUUCGGCGCUUCUGAUUCGAGACUUGAGAGAUUUUAGGAUCUUGAUUCUUUGUAGAAGUCUUGCACGAAGCACCCCGGGCUUUGCUGAAGAACUCCGUGACGACGGAAGCCCCAAUGCUGGUGACAGAUAGAUUCGCCGUUCCGUGUUGCAGUUCUGUUCACGAAUUCCUACGACCGAUCUGUGUCGAUGCUAUGUCUCUAAUUCUUAUGUACACUAUCUAUACAACAUGGCAUAGGGUACAUCUUCAGAAUGGAAGGUGAAUAUACUUUGUGCAUAAAACAAUCUGCAGCUCUACCUUUCCUCCUAAGGUGCUAUCCUUUCCCAAUCAGCUUGCUACAGUUGCAAGACAUAUGAGGAUUGUAUAUGUGCAUCUUAUCAUGAUUGAACCCAAGUAAAAGCUUAGGCUACAUGUUCCACAGCAUUCUGUCUUUUACUGAUAUGUAACGUUUUAGAUUAUUUUAAACUCAAUAUCUUCAAAUAAUUGGGAUUUUGCUGCUCCCUAUGUAAAAUUUAUUUACAAUAAUUAGUGGUGCUACCAAGAUUGAUAAGGUUUUGAAACAAUAAUAUUUGAUAAUUAAUCUUUUUGCUUCUUGAGUUACAAAAAUAUAGCGAUUAUUCUUACUUGUAUUUUGCGUUUAACUAAUCAUAGGACAUGUUUCUUCUAUUUGGCUAUAGUUGAUAUUGGAGGUUCUAUAUUGUUCCCAUGUCUUAAGUAAAUCUUUUCAUUCUGAGGUUAUCAUUGGACUAACAUGUCGACACUUCAGCUUUUUUGCUUCUCAUUUUUUUGGUGGAGCUCAUUGAUGGAAUAUGUGAACCUUAUUGUUUUGUUGUACGCUUCAUUGGUCUCGUUCUCUAUGAUGUUGAAUUUGUAUGCUUUAUUGUACUCUCUCUCUCUCUCCCCCCCUUUCCGAAUAGUUUAUCCCUUCUUUUCCCUCUUGAUUUUUGGGUUUUUCUUCAUUUUCUCCUUAUAUUAUGUGGUAGAUUUUAUAAUGGUGGUUAGGAUUUCCGCUACAUGUACCAAGGUUAGGGCUUUGGGUUGCCCUUGUCUUGAAGUUGCUGGAUCUGGCUGUAGCUAUAUGAAUCAAGAGAAGAGGGAAGAAAACUGGUCGGCUUGUCCUCCUUAUUGUUGGCAACCCGCUUACCAAGCUUCCCACAUUAAUCUGUUCUUAAAAAGUAGCUUCCUAUUUUAUUCUUUUUUAUUUUUUGUGAGAAGGGCAGAAGAAGGAGAUGGUGCAUGUGUUAGCCAUUUUUAGAGGACCUUCUCACACAUCAAGAGCUAUCCAUUUUCUUUGAAUUUUUAAUGUUUUUAUUAAUUUUUUAAAGUGAUGAUAGCUCGGCCAUUAUCCAGGCAAGCUGCUUUUUAAUUGCUGCAGAUUGUGUCAUCAAUGCCUACAUCCGAGUCUUAUUUUCUUUUACUCAGUUGCUCUAUUGUUCCAUGCUGUUCUCUAUAAUCUGCAAUUAUAUUUUUGCUCUUAUUUUCACUCUAUUUGUUUUUUGUGGAAAUAUUUGUACUUUUAUAUUGAUUUAUUAGUUUGUAUGCUUUAAUAUCUCUAAUUACUUUUUGGUUGGGUAUUGCUAUGAAACUUUUUGGUCCCCUAUGAUUUGGACUUCACACCUAAGUGCAACUAGUUUGAUCUGAGAUUAUGGCUGAUAUGCCACCCAAACAAUAAUGAAUAUUUUUCAGCUGUUAAUUUAUGUCUCCAGAAAAUCAUUGGUAACUUAAUAUAUUCAAUUUUACCAUCGAAUCAGAAUGAGGUUGCAGAGUGUAAUUACUGUAGAAAGAGCUUUAUAAAGAUUUUAAGUAGGUGAUAGAUAUGUCUUUACCCUGAUGCUGAUCAUCAGAAAGAUUGACAACAUAUGGACCUGGUAUUUUGGAUUGGGCUUUCAAUGUCUGGAUGGAAACGGCACAAAGUCUUGUACUGCAGCAAAGUUUUGAAUUAUCAUGGACCAGAGUUUCAUAGUAUGUAUUAGUCGUUAUUAAAGUCUUGUAAGGACCCGUGAUUAUUGAAAUAACUGUUGUUGCUGCAUCACCGUUUGGGCAGAUUUUACUUUGUAGAUAGAGAUGGUACUUUCAAGUUCAUGUCUAUGCUGCUGUCAACUUUGUUAGUGGUGUGGGCAGGCAAUCAUUAGGUGAAGUCCCUGCAAGAACAACUCUUUCAAAGAUGUCUUGAAUGAUGGAUCCAGUCCUGUGGCUGUCCUUGUGAACUGAAAUGAAUUGUUAUCCAAAGGGAGUUGGUAGAUGUCAUGGAUGCUUGUUUUUUAUUUGAGCUUUUGCACUCUUCAUCCAGCAUAAUCGGCACCAUGGAAAGAGCCAAUGAGGAGCCUCGUUGGUGAUUCCAUAGCUACUGGAACAAUUGAUGGUGCAAAACAAAUGGAAUAUGCCUAUGUGCGAGAGAAGUUUGCGGAACCUGAUCCUGAUGUGUGUCAAAGAAAUGGUUUUGAGAACUGGCAGCAGUAUGGAACCUUGCGCUCAAGGAAUAUGUCUUCAAUCAAGGCAGCUGAAACUUUGAAGACCGAGCCUGAUCCACAUGACGACAUGGGUGGCCGGCCAAGAAGUACAAAGAAUCGAAGACGACGAAGAGCCUGUAGCUGCUAUUUGUGCACGUCUUCAGAGGGCCGUUGACAUUUUAUUUACUUAUUUAUUUGUAUUUUAUUUGUAUUUGUCUGCGAUCUGCAGUCAGAUUUGUUUGGUAUAAUAUAUGCUGAUUUAAUUUGCCGAAUAAACAUUGGAAUUUCUCUUUCUUGUUGACUUCUCGAAGAUGUCAUAACAGGUGAACUUGGGCGAGCUGAAACUUACUGUGGCUUGCAAAACUUACAUGGUGAUCAUUAAAUUAAGGUCACAUCAAUUCUUAAACAAAA